CCGAACAGCUGGAAGUGCCGGAGUGGAUGUCUCAACAAUAGAAACCAUUCUACUAUGGAACUCUCAGAUUUCGAAGGAAAGAUAGAUAUUCAUCUUCCUGCACACAAAAUGUUUACCUUGCUACAAAAUAUACAACUAGAAGAAAAAGAAUUGUGUGCAGAGUUACCUACUGAUGGUCCUACAGUAUUUACGGAUGGCAGUGGAAAAACAGGAAAGGCAGUAGUAGUUUGGAAAGAAGGUCAGAAAAUGGGCCAAAGUGGAUUCCAACUAAAUGGACGAAACCUUAUGCUGAGAUUGAUAUGGAAC
This is a long non-coding RNA of Harpia harpyja (harpy eagle), 306 nucleotides long. RefSeq lists it as uncharacterized. Lineage: Eukaryota; Metazoa; Chordata; Aves; Accipitriformes; Accipitridae. The record is from RefSeq and is a predicted model, not a curated record. The transcript has 3 exons.